GUGGGGAAUAUUGCGCAAUGGGGGAAACCCUGACGCAGCAACGCCGCGUGAGUGAUGAAGGCUUUCGAGUCGUAAAACUCUGUCUUUGGGGACGAAUAAUGACGGUACCCAAGGAGGAAGCCCCGGCUAACUACGUGCCAGCAGCCGCGGUAAUACGUAGGGGGCAAGCGUUGUCCGGAAUCACUGGGCGUAAAGGGCGCGUAGGCGGUUUGUUAAGUCAGGUGUGAAAGUUUUCAGCUUAACUGGAAAAGUGCACUUGAAACUAACUUACUUGAGUACUGGAGAGGUAAGCGGAAUUCCUAGUGUAGCGGUGAAAUGCGUAGAUAUUAGGAAGAACACCGGUGGCGAAGGCGGCUUACUGGACAGAGACUGACGCUGAGGCGCGAAAGCGUGGGGAGCGAACAGGAUUAGAAACCCUUGUAGUCC
Molecule: ribosomal RNA, 426 nt
Filed under: uncultured bacterium
Lineage: Bacteria
Description: partial 16S ribosomal RNA
Rfam family: Bacterial small subunit ribosomal RNA
Source: RNAcentral